GUCCUUUAGAUUAUAAUUUAAGGUCUAACCUGCCCACUGAAAUUUUAAAUGGCCGCGGUAUUUUGACCGUGCAAAGGUAGCAUAAUCAUUAGUUUUUUAAUUAAAAGCUGGAAUGAAAGGUUGAAUGAGAAAAUAACUGUCUCUAAAUAAAUAUUUGAAUUUUAUCUUUAAGUAAAAAAGCUUAAAUUUUAUUAAAAGACGAGAAGACCCUAUAGAGUUUAAUAGAAUUUUAAAAAUUAAAUUUUUAGGAUUUUUAUUUUAAAUUUUGAGUUUUAUUUGAUUGGGGUGAUUGAAAAAUUUAAGUAACUUUUUUUAUUAUUUACAUUAAUAUAUGAAUAUUUGAUCCAUUUUUUAUGAUUAAAAGACUAAAUUACCUUAGGGAUAACAGCGUAAUUUUUUUUUAGAGUUCAUAUUGAAAAAAAAGUUUGCGACCUCGAUGUUGGAUUAAAAUUAAUUUUUGGUGUAGAAGCUAAGAAUUUUAGGUCUGUUCGACCUUUAAAAUUUUACA
Molecule: ribosomal RNA, 508 nt
Filed under: Atomaria sp. BYU CO145
Lineage: Eukaryota; Metazoa; Arthropoda; Insecta; Coleoptera; Cryptophagidae
Description: partial 16S ribosomal RNA
Rfam family: Bacterial large subunit ribosomal RNA
Source: RNAcentral